This 69-nucleotide transfer RNA is filed under the name Ictidomys tridecemlineatus (thirteen-lined ground squirrel). RNAcentral's name for it is "Spermophilus tridecemlineatus (thirteen-lined ground squirrel) tRNA". It matches the Rfam family "tRNA". Rfam says of the family: Transfer RNA (tRNA) molecules are approximately 80 nucleotides in length. Their secondary structure includes four short double-helical elements and three loops (D, anti-codon, and T loops). The record is from Rfam by way of RNAcentral. Lineage: Eukaryota; Metazoa; Chordata; Mammalia; Rodentia; Sciuridae.
GGAAGUGUAGCUCAGGGGUAUAGCACUUGCCUAGUAUGCAUGAGGCCCUAGGUUCCAACCCCAGCACCA